GUGAAUUUGAGCCAGGAGGGAACAGUGUCCUAAACAUUUCAUUUGUUUGAUCCGCAAAAAAAAUUCUUGCCACCUCUCCAUCUUAAGCUUGGCUUAAUGAUGAACUUUCUGAAAGCGAUGGGGAAAGAUAAUUCUGCAGGAUUUCAGUACUUGGUAAAGAAAUAUCCAAAGAUCAGUGCAGCAAAACUGAAGGAAGGAAUCUUUGUUGGGCCCCAAAUUUGUGAAGUUUUGCA
This is a non-coding RNA of Pelobates cultripes (western spadefoot toad), 233 nucleotides long. Lineage: Eukaryota; Metazoa; Chordata; Amphibia; Anura; Pelobatidae. The record is from the annotation of a GenBank genome assembly.